RNAcentral lists this transfer RNA (60 nucleotides) under Rhynchothorax sp. JZ-2022. RNAcentral's name for it is "tRNA-Trp". Lineage: Eukaryota; Metazoa; Arthropoda; Pycnogonida; Pantopoda; Tanystylidae. The record is from RNAcentral.
GAUUUUAAGUUAAUUAAAACUACCAACCUUCAAAGUUGGAUAUAGAUAAUAUUAUCUAAA